This 326-nucleotide ribosomal RNA is filed under the name uncultured eukaryote. RNAcentral's name for it is "partial 18S ribosomal RNA". It matches the Rfam family "Eukaryotic small subunit ribosomal RNA", at positions 1470 to 1796 of the family's 1831-position model. The record is from RNAcentral.
CCCUUAGAUGUUCUGGGCCGCACGCGCGCUACGCUGAUGCAUUCAACAAGCCUAGCCUUGACCGAGAGGUCCGGGUAAUCUUUGAAACUGCAUCGUGAUGGGGCUAGAUUAUUGCAAUUAUUAAUCUUCAACGAGGAAUGCCUAGUAAGCGUGAUUCAUCAAAUCGCGUUGAUUACGUCCCUGCCCUUUGUACACACCGCCCGUCGCUCCUACCGAUUGAAUGUGUUGGUGAGGAGCUCGGAUUGGCAGCAGUUGGUGGUUCGCCACCGGCUAUUGCUGAGAAGUCCUCCAAACCGCCCCAUUUAGAGGAAGGAGAAGUCGUAACA